Molecule: non-coding RNA, 729 nt
Organism: Alosa sapidissima (American shad)
Lineage: Eukaryota; Metazoa; Chordata; Actinopteri; Clupeiformes; Clupeidae
Source: the annotation of a RefSeq genome assembly
CAUAAUUAAUAACAUUCUUCCAUGUAAACAAAAUGAAAUGUAAAGCAUGUCUUGUCUGUGUACUGGAGACUACUGGAGUGUGCAGGAGGUUUUUGUACGGCUGCUUAAUGAGUCUGUAUCACUGUGGCUCACUUUUGGUGGAGGAACCAGACUGGCAGUUGGAACUGAUGCGCGUCCCAGCCUGACGCUGCUUCCCCCCUCCAGUGUGGAGCUGCAGCAGGGGAAGGCCACCCUGGUGUGCCUGGCCACCAAGGGCUUCCCCUGGGACUGGAGGCUGAGCUGGAAGGUGUCCGGGAGCAGCAGCCGCUGGGAGGGGAGCCAGAGCCCUGCGCUCCUGGAGAAGGACGGCCUCUACAGCUGGAGCAGCAGCCUCACCCUCACCCAGGAGCAGUGGAGGAAGGCGCCAGCCGUCACCUGUGAGGCCACCCAGGGCACCCAGGAACCCGUCACCCAGGACAUCAAGACGGGAGACUGCGCCCAGUAGAGACGCAGCACACAAACACACGCUUACAGAGAGAGACGCAGCCACACAGACAUGCUUAGACAAAGAGAGAGAGGGAGAGUGAGAGAGACACACAUACACACAAACACACGCUGACAAAGAGAGAGUGUAUUGCUUAAUAAAAAAUCAAGAUAUGCUUUGUUGUUAAAAUUUAGCUGAUGUGUUUCUGAUCUGUGUGUAUCUUCAGCGCUUUAUGUGAAACACUGUUGAAAAAUAAAGAAUCUGAG